This 959-nucleotide long non-coding RNA is filed under the name Homo sapiens (human). Its description in RNAcentral is "HSALNT0381390". The record is from RNAcentral. Lineage: Eukaryota; Metazoa; Chordata; Mammalia; Primates; Hominidae.
GCAGGAAUCCGCGGGCCCGGAUGCUGCCCAGCUGACCCUCCUGCCCCGGGCCUGGCUGCAGAGAAAGUCUUCGGGCAGGAGGCCAUCCUGUUCCUGUCUUUAAAAUGAGCACAAUAAAAGGGGGCAAAUCCUCGAACGCGAACCUGAUCUCAUGUCACAGAAGCAACUUGCCAUGAAAUCCGCUAAUGCGCUGCGACUCGCCCACCAGGAUAAAUAACCCCAUCGUCCGUGUAAUCAGCACGUUCCCAAUGAAGUCGUUUUCCUAGAAUGCGCUCUCCGCCUGCCACACUUGAGGAAUCCAGCCCACAGAGGUUUCGGAAACCCAGUUUGAGUGAUUCCAGCCUAGACUGAAACCCUGAGAGCCUCCCAGGAAAGAGAGCCCGGCCUGGGCCAAGCAGUCGGACACACACACACACACACACACACACACACACACACACACACACACACACACGGACUGCGUAGCUCUUCGCAGGAUCGAAGGCUGGAUGCGGAUCUGGGAGGCGGUGGCUAAGCGAACCAGGAAGACUGUGACGGAAACCAAUACAGCAGUGUCAUCUUGAAAGUUAUUUGGAAGAACAGGACCUGGAGUCUGGGUUUGAAUCAAAAAAUUGUGAGCAAGGGACAGAUCACCCUGUAUUUCUCUGGAACGAGGCAGAACUGAGACCUGCUCAGCUGAACCAGCGUGGCCACAUAUUGGGGACUAGGAAAUUGUUCUCAGACACUGUAGCACACACAUCCUCUGACAGCGAGCUCACUCCUGCGCAGUGGGCUUCUGGUUCUGCCACUGCACUCCACAAACGCCCUACAGGCCUCCUCCAGGUUUUGCCAGGCAAAUGAAACGAGCACAACUCGAUAGUAAAUUAUUUUGUUCAGCCUUCUCUCUUUUUAUGAAAAUAAGAGGCAACACUUUGUCAUUUUUAAUCACAUAAGCAGACAAUAAAUCUAAUUUUGAUAUU